Molecule: ribosomal RNA, 346 nt
Filed under: uncultured bacterium
Lineage: Bacteria
Description: bacterial SSU rRNA
Rfam family: Bacterial small subunit ribosomal RNA
Source: RNAcentral
AGAGACGAGUCAGAGUUUGAUCCUGGCUCAGGACGAACGCUGGCGGCGUGCCUAACACAUGCAAGUCGAGCGGAGACAAGAAAUUAGCUUGCUAAGUUCUUGUUUUAGCGGCGGACGGGUGAGUAACGCGUGAGCAACCUUUCUCUCAGUGGGGAAUAACACAGCGAAAGUUGUACUAAUACCGCAUGAGACCACGGUGUCGCAUGACACAGGGGUCAAAGAUUUAUCGCUGAGAGGUGGGCUCGCGUCUGAUUAGAUAGUUGGUGGGGUAACGGCCUACCAAGUCGACGAUCAGUAGCCGACCUGAGAGGGUGAUCGGCCACAUUGGGACUGAGACACGGCCCAA